RNAcentral lists this ribosomal RNA (420 nucleotides) under uncultured bacterium. RNAcentral's name for it is "partial 16S ribosomal RNA". It matches the Rfam family "Bacterial small subunit ribosomal RNA", at positions 361 to 773 of the family's 1533-position model. The record is from RNAcentral.
AUAUUGGACAAUGGGCGAAAGCCUGAUCCAGCCAUGCCGCGUGGGUGAAGAAGGUCUUCGGAUUGUAAAGCACCUUAAGUUGGGAGGAAGGGCAGUAAGAUAAUACCUUGCUGUUUUGAGGUUACCGACUGAAUAAGCACCGGCUAUCUUCUUCCCAGCAGCCGCGGUAAUACGGAGGGUGCAAGCGUUAAGCGGAAUUACUGGGGAUAAAGCGCGCGUAGGUGGUUUGUUGAGUUGGGAGAGAACGCCCCGGGCACAACCUGGGAACUGCUUUAAAAACUGGCAAGCUAGAGUAGGGCAGAGGGUGGUAGAAUUUCCUGUGUAGCGGUAAAAUGCGUAGAUAUAGGAAAGAACACCAGUGGCGAAGGCGACCACCUGGGCUAAUACUGACACUGAGGUGCGAAAGCGUGGGGAGCAAAC